AUCUCCCCCAAGAGUCCACAUCGACGGGGAGGUUUGGCACCUCGAUGUCGGCUCAUCGCAUCCUGGGGCUGUAGUCGGUCCCAAGGGUUGGGCUGUUCGCCCAUUAAAGCGGUACGCGAGCUGGGUUCAGAACGUCGUGAGACAGUUCGGUCCCUAUCCGUCGCGGGCGCAGGAAAUUUGAGAGGAGCUGUCCUUAGUACGAGAGGACCGGGAUGGACGCACCGCUGGUGUACCAGUUGUUCUGCCAAGGGCAUCGCUGGGUAGCUAUGUGCGGACGGGAUAAGUGCUGAAAGCAUCUAAGCAUGAAGCCCCCCUCAAGAUGAGAUUUCCCAUUCCGCAAGGAAGUAAGAUCCCUGAAAGAUGAUCAGGUUGAUAGGUCUGAGGUGGAAGCGUGGUGACACGUGGAGCUGACAGAUACUAAUAGAUCGAGGACUUAACCUU
Molecule: ribosomal RNA, 441 nt
Filed under: Bacillus pumilus
Lineage: Bacteria; Bacillati; Bacillota; Bacilli; Caryophanales; Bacillaceae
Description: partial 23S ribosomal RNA
Rfam family: Bacterial large subunit ribosomal RNA
Source: RNAcentral